UCAGGGAGAGUCAAACACUUUGUAAAUACUGACAUACUUCAGAAAUCCUUCAACAUUCUGUGGGAUUUUCUUGUGUUAAUGCAUUAAUCUUCUUUAGAUUCUCGCAUUUAAUGCCUUAAUUAAUUUAGUAUGCAAACAUUGAUAUUAUCUAUUUUUUCUUUACCUAUAAAACCCUGAUUCUUUUUUUAUUCCUAUUUUUUCUCUUCUUGGAUUUUUCGCAUCAGAAUUUCAACGGAGAAGAAGAAAAGAAAAAAACAGGAGCUAACAUCAUGUCUAGACACUUUCCAGAAGAAACCAUAGUUCACAUCUUUUCAAGGUUACCAGUAAAGAGUAUCAAACGCUUCAAUUGUGUAUGUAUGCCAUGGCUCAAGUUAUUUUCUGACCCUAAAUUUGUUAUGUUGUGUCUUAAACAUGCUCUGAGAAACAGCAAUUUUAAAAUUCUUGCAAGUGAUCUCAAGAGGUUUUACUCUGUUGUUUUUGGUUUGCCUUUAUCCUUUUCCAUAGGAUCAUCAUCAUCUUCAUCGUUGUCAUUGUCUAUGCCCAUGUCACCAAUAUUUGAUAGUGCUACUAAGGUAAAUCUCCCUUUUGGGACUGGUAAAUAUGGAAUUAAUCUUUUGGGUACAUGCAAUGGUUUGCUUAGCUUUCUGGGUACUCAGGAUACAGUUUGUUUUUGGAAUCCAACAACAAAUGAAAUGAGUAUAAAAGAGUACCUUCAGCCUCAAUUGAGCGUCCUGAAGGUUUAGGGAUGAUCCGCUCCCUCAGAUAUGGGUUUGGUCAUGAUUCGGAGAAUGAUGUUUACAAAAUGGUAAGACUUGUGGACUUUUGUGAUUAUGGGUGUACUGUUAAGGUUCUUACUUUGGGCACAGAAGAAUGGCGGUUAAAAUCACAUGUUCCUUAUGGAUUUCAGCAUGGACAUCUAUAUGGAGUACUCGUUAAUGAAGCUGUUCACUGGUUUGCAAACCCCUUUCGAUGACGGGGUUAGAAUUGUACUGUCUUUCGAUGUUAAGAGUGAGAUGUUCAAGGAGGUGCCACAACCUCAAAACUUGAAUGAGCUGAACCAUAUCACGUUGCGUGAAUUCGGUCGGAAACUCUGUCUAAUUGAUCAUGAUUGCCACACUGUUAGUGUCACUUUCUGGAUUAUGAAUGAGUACGGGAGAAGUGAAUCUUGGACUAAGCAAAUCAUCAUUUCCCUGCAGACAGUUAUUCCAUCAUUUAAGUAUGUGAUACCGGUUCAGCGUUUCAGAAAUGGUGAGAUUAUACUAGAAAUCGACAAUGGAACUUUGAUCUUGUAUAACCCGAAGGAAGAACAUUCCAGAGUUCUAAAUAUCCGCCAAUUUAAUAAACACUUUGAAGUAACGACUUACAUAGAGAGUCUAGUUUCACCUAAGCAAAUAACUCUGGUGAAGCAAGACCAAGCAGCGAUGGUGAUUGAAACUAAAGGAGAAGCUUAAGAAGAUGGUCACAAAAUUAAUAAGAGUUGUAUCUCAGGGCAAAUGCUGGUUUGAGUUUGAGCAAGCAACGGAAAGCGAGAAGGGUGGAUGGUAGAAAGAGGGAGAGUUGCUGUAUAUAUACUGUGCCGUAUUCAUUGCUUACCUAUGACAUAUAUUGGCGAUCUGUACUAUGAAGGGCAUCAUUGUUUUCAGAAAAUCUACAUUUUCUUCCCCGAGGCAUUACCUUUUCGAUAAUCUCAACGCGGAUAUGUAUGUAUUUUACAUAAACUAGGCCGAAUCUGUAAUUUAGUCGCUACUAUCUAUACCAGCCAUUUUUCAUCCUUAACUUGAAAUGUAGUCAUCGUAAUAAAUGCUUCGUAAUUUACAUGCUACCGUAUUUAUUAUAUUACCAGAAAUCAGUUUAUUUACUUAUACGGAUUAAUCUAUCACUGUAUGCCUGUUGUUUAUCAUAAGCUACUCCUUUCAUGUGAUGAGCCAUUCCUUCAAGUUGAGGUUGUGGUAUAUCUGAAAGGGGGCUUACAUGGCUAUUCAGGUCCAGGCUUUGAUUUCAAUUUUGGAGUGUUGAAUUUUGAUUCCCAGAUGGUAAACUCAAAUUAUCAUGGCAGCUGGUUCUCUAAUAGUAAUUUGGUACGAACGAGGUCUGGUACAUGGUUCAAGAUGUCAGUGGGAACUAUGAUCUCAGACAGGUGGCAUAUGUCCAGUGAGGAAAAUCGAUCUCUAAUUACCUUUUGUAGUAAUUUUCUCAUUCAAUUCAGUGUAAUAAUAUUACUCAGUUUGUUCACCAUACCUGUGACGCUCUAGCUGUUCCUUCUUGAUUAUCGGUAUGUGUGGCAGCUAGUUGGAUGGAACUUCAUAAACUCAAGAAUGGGCUUCUGAUGAAAAGUGUUCAAGUUACAUGAUACACAAGUCAGUUGAUAGCCCCUGGAGAUCACCUGGAUCGUUGUAACCUGGCUUACAUGAAAAUUUGUUUCGAAUCGUCUCCAAGGGGCACACUUCGGCUCAAAGCGGAGGUUGUGAGUUGACUGUAAAAGGAGAAUGACUGUUACUAGACAUGUCUCGUCCUGGGCACUGGGCGGCAAUGCACUUCCAGAUCAUGUUUAACUGUUACUAGCUAAUGCAGUCUAGCUAUUAAAAUCUGGAGAUCAACAAAGAUUUUGAGGAUUGUGUUGUAUUGACUGCUGGUACUUUAGGAAGUUGGUAUCAGUUUUCUGUCAAUGAAAAGGAUUCAUAUCCAGUCCUUUCAGUUCCCAAUUGCCAGUGCCUAAGAGGUUAAAAACAUAUGUAAACUUCUCUAUUCCAGUUUUCUUCAUGGUACAAGCAAGAGACUUGUUCAGAGAUUCAGAAUCCAUAAUGAAUCCAUAAUAACACUUAUACUAUUAUGACUUCCCUAGUAUCAAAAAACAUUGUCUGAAAAUAACAAUUGGAGUCGUUAUUUGUUUAUUCUUAAAUUGUAACGACUGUAACCGACCAUUAUAAAUUUAUAGGAGAGUCAUCAUGGUCGAUAUCUAUAU
Molecule: long non-coding RNA, 2962 nt
Organism: Papaver somniferum (opium poppy)
Lineage: Eukaryota; Viridiplantae; Streptophyta; Magnoliopsida; Ranunculales; Papaveraceae
Exons: 6
Source: RefSeq, a predicted model, not a curated record